This 237-nucleotide ribosomal RNA is filed under the name uncultured bacterium. Its description in RNAcentral is "partial 16S ribosomal RNA". It matches the Rfam family "Bacterial small subunit ribosomal RNA", at positions 15 to 228 of the family's 1533-position model. The record is from RNAcentral.
GAUCAUGGCUCAGGAUGAACGCUGGCGGCGUGCUUAACACAUGCAAGUCGAACGAAGCACUUUAUUAUGAUUUCUUCGGAAUGACGAUUUAGUGACUGAGUGGGCGGACGGGGUGAAGGUAACCGCGUGGGUAACCUGCCUUAUACAGGGGGAUAACAGUUAGAAAUGACUGCUAAUACCGCAUAAGCGCACAGGAUUGCAUGAUCUGGUGUGAAAAACUCCGGUGGUAUAAGAUGG